Molecule: long non-coding RNA, 240 nt
Organism: Chinchilla lanigera (long-tailed chinchilla)
Lineage: Eukaryota; Metazoa; Chordata; Mammalia; Rodentia; Chinchillidae
Exons: 3
Source: RefSeq, a predicted model, not a curated record
GGCGCAUGUCACAUAGUUCAUCUGUGUGGUGUGUUCUAAUUCUGGUUAAGGAAGGCUGCUGCCAGCAAUCCAGUCUUGGCAAGUGGCUGUAUCAAGCUUCAGUACUUAGGAAAUCCUGGCUUCCCAGAAUGAUUCAAAAAAACUGAAGGACUUCAUGAAGCUGAGCUCAUCUACGAUGAAUAAACAUCUGCCAGCUGGGGUUGUUCUCAGUCAAGAACAAAUCAUAGAAGCUCCUGAAGA